UGAAGAAAUCAAUCACAUGUUUACUUAGCUAAAGAUGAUAGUAGCUUGAUUGUAAACAUCCUCUUUUUUUUAUUGAGUGUUAAUAUCCUGCUAGACUACAAGAUAGACAGCUAGAUUAUUCCUAAAUGUUUGUGGUGUGCAUACAUGCAACAUUAUUGAUUGUAAACAUCCUCUUGCUUCUAAAUGUUUGUGGUGUGCAUACAUGCAACAUCCGAUUUUGUGUGUGUUGAUUAGAUCCUUGGAUUUGGGGUAGGUUUCAAAUCGAUUGAGUUUGUUCUAUUCAUCUGUCAUCUCUGUGACAGAGAAAUCGAUUCCUAUGGUUGAUGAUAUUUGAUUUGCUGUUUAAUAUUGACAGAGAAAGCUUGUUGAUUGUGAUGGUGUGAUGAGCUCACAAUGGAGGAUAAACUCUCUAUUGUACAAGAGCAGAGAGCUAAGAAUGCUGAGCUAAAGGCUAAAUCUCGGGCUCUCAAGUUGAAGAAGUUGAGUCUGAUUCUGAUAUAGAUCAAGCAGGUUUGGAACUUGAAUUCUGAUUUGUUUGUUUGCGUUUUUAUGCUAGGUGAAGCAGCAAAAGAUGUUGGAGUCAUUGUGCCCAUUGCUCCAGCUUCUGCAGAUGAUGAAGAUGGCCCUCCUGAGUAGAUCUCUAAUGAAGAAGCAGUUGCCAAGCAUCUGAAGCUGGAGAUGUCAAUUGCAGCCUCUGCCUCUGCCCGUGUCAACCCCUUUAGUGAAUCUACUCAGUAUUUCGACUGGCUUAACUUGGAGAAGACUUAUCGUGAACUGAGCCCUGCGGAGCAACAAUACUUUGUCACUGCUUCUCUCGCUGGCCACUUUGAAUAAAGGAGAAACCUUAAUAACUGAGCUUUGCGCCAAUAGUAUCUGGUUUCUAUAUGGCGGUGCAAAAUAAAUUUUUUUAAUUCUUCGUAACUACAAAACGCUACUUUGAUAUGACUUGAAUAAUGUCUGGAUUCUACUUCUUGCACAAUCUGAUAUGUUUAGUGCCUUUCUUUUGGGCGUUACAUGCAUCUUUGCUUCUUAUUGCCUUGUCUGAGAAUAUUUUGUCAAACAUGAUUCAGUUUAAUUCUUUGUUUGAUGGGGUUA
Molecule: long non-coding RNA, 1095 nt
Organism: Brassica napus (rape)
Lineage: Eukaryota; Viridiplantae; Streptophyta; Magnoliopsida; Brassicales; Brassicaceae
Exons: 4
Source: RefSeq, a predicted model, not a curated record